RNAcentral lists this ribosomal RNA (595 nucleotides) under uncultured fungus. RNAcentral's name for it is "eukaryotic LSU rRNA". The stretch from base 238 to 391 matches the Rfam family "5.8S ribosomal RNA". The record is from RNAcentral. Lineage: Eukaryota; Fungi.
CUUGGUCAUUUAGAGGAAGUAAAAGUCGUAACAAGGUCUCCGUAGGUGAACCUGCGGAGGGAUCAUUACAGAGUUCGUGCCCUCCGGGUAGAUCUCCCACCCAUUGUCAUCACUACUCUCGUUGCUUUGGCGGGCCGCUGGGCCCUGCCCGGCCGCCGGCCCCGGCUGGCGCGUGCCCGCCAGAGACCUCACAGACUCUGAAUGUUAGUGUCGUCCGAGUAACUAUACAAUCGUUAAAACUUUCAACAACGGAUCUCUUGGUUCUGGCAUCGAUGAAGAACGCAGCGAAAUGCGAUAAGUAAUGCGAAUUGCAGAAUUCAGUGAGUCAUCGAAUCUUUGAACGCACAUUGCGCCCUGUGGUAUUCCGCAGGGCAUGCCUGUUCGAGCGUCAUUUCAACCCUCAAGCCUCGCUUGGUGUUGGGCCCUGCCCGCCGCGGCCGGCCCUAAAGAUAGUGGCGGCGCCGCCUGGCCCUCAGCGUAGUACAGCUCUCGCUCCAGGGUCCGGCGGCAGCCUGCCAGAACCCCCCAACUCUGUGGUUGACCUCGGAUCAGGUAGGGAUACCCGCUGAACUUAAGCAUAUCAAUAAGCGGAGGA